AGAGUUUGAUCCUGGCUCAGGACGAACGCUGGCGGCGGGCCUAACACAUGCAAGUCGAACGAGAAUCUCAGCUUCGGCUGGGAGGACAGUGGCGCACGGGUGCGUAACGCGUAGACAACCUACCUUCGAGUGGGGGACAACUCCGGGAAACCGGGGCUAAUACCGCAUGAGGUCUCAAUAUCGCAUGGUAAUGAGAUGAAAGCCUUCGGGUGCUCGAAGAUGGGUCUGCGUCGGAUUAGCUUGUUGGUGAGGUAAAAGCUCACCAAGGCAACGAUCCGUAGCUGGUCUGAGAGGAUGAUCAGCCACACUGGCACUGAGACACGGGCCAGACUCCUACGGGAGGCAGCAGUGAGGAAUAUUGCGCAAUGGGCGAAAGCCUGACGCAGCCACGCCGCGUGAAGGAUGACACCCCUAUGGGGCGUAAACUUCUUUUAUGUGAGAAGAAGGCUUCCUUAGAGGAAGAUUGACGGUAUCACAUGAAUAAGCACCGGCUAACUCCGUGCCAGCAGCCGCGGUAAUACGGAGGGUGCAAGCGUUGUCCGGAAUUACUGGGUGUAAAGGGUGUGUAGGCGGGACUGUUAGUCAGAGGUGAAAGCCUACGGCUUAACCGUAGAAUUGCCUUUGAUACUACAGUUCUUGAGUCCCGGGAGG
RNAcentral lists this ribosomal RNA (651 nucleotides) under uncultured Bacteroidota bacterium. RNAcentral's name for it is "bacterial SSU rRNA". It matches the Rfam family "Bacterial small subunit ribosomal RNA", at positions 8 to 656 of the family's 1533-position model. Lineage: Bacteria; Pseudomonadati; Bacteroidota. The record is from RNAcentral.